RNAcentral lists this transfer RNA (65 nucleotides) under Paramacrosteles nigromaculatus. RNAcentral describes it as "tRNA-Pro". Lineage: Eukaryota; Metazoa; Arthropoda; Insecta; Hemiptera; Cicadellidae. The record is from RNAcentral. RNAcentral also lists the same sequence under 1 other name.
CAACAAAUAUUUUAUAAAAUAUUAAUUUUGGGUAUUAAAGAUAUGGAAAUUAUCCAUUUUGUUGA